This 253-nucleotide ribosomal RNA is filed under the name uncultured bacterium. RNAcentral's name for it is "partial 16S ribosomal RNA". It matches the Rfam family "Bacterial small subunit ribosomal RNA", at positions 524 to 776 of the family's 1533-position model. The record is from RNAcentral.
UACGAAGGGGGCUAGCGUUGUUCGGAAUUACUGGGCGUAAAGCGCGCGCAGGCGGUCUUCCAAGUCAGUGGUGAAAGCCCUCAGCUCAACUGAGGAAGUGCGCCCGAAACUGCAUUGCUUGAGUACCGGAGAGGAUGGCGGAAUUCCCGAAGUAGAGGUGAAAUUCGUAGAUAUCGGGAGGAACACCGGUGGCGAAGGCGGCCUGCUGGGCAGUAGCUGACACUGAGGCGCGACAGCGUGGGGAGCAAACAGG